RNAcentral lists this transfer RNA (59 nucleotides) under Salmo salar (Atlantic salmon). The record is from Rfam by way of RNAcentral. Lineage: Eukaryota; Metazoa; Chordata; Actinopteri; Salmoniformes; Salmonidae.
GCUCUCUAUAUGGUAGAGCAUGGUGUUUGCAACACCAGGGUUGUGGGUUCGAUUCCCAC